This 494-nucleotide ribosomal RNA is filed under the name uncultured bacterium. RNAcentral's name for it is "partial 16S ribosomal RNA". It matches the Rfam family "Bacterial small subunit ribosomal RNA", at positions 28 to 507 of the family's 1533-position model. The record is from RNAcentral.
GACGAACGCUGGCGGCGUGCCUAAUACAUGCAAGUAGAACGCUGAAGGAGGAGCUUGCUUCUCUGGAUGAGUUGCGAACGGGUGAGUAACGCGUAGGUAACCUGCCUGUAGCGGGGGAUAACUAUUUGAAACGAUAGCUAAUACCGCAUAAUAGUAGAUGUUGCAUGACAUUUGCUUAAAAGGUGCAAUUGCAUCACUACCAGAUGGACCUGCGUUGUAUUAGCUAGUUGGUGGGGUAACGGCUCACCAAGGCGACGAUACAUAGCCGACCUGAGAGGGUGAUCGGCCACACUGGGACUGAGACACGGCCCAGACUCCUACGGGAGGCAGCAGUAGGGAAUCUUCGGCAAUGGACGGAAGUCUGACCGAGCAACGCCGCGUGAGUGAAGAAGGUUUUCGGAUCGUAAAGCUCUGUUGUAAGAGAAGAACGAGUGUGAGAGUGGAAAGUUCACACUGUGACGGUAUCUUACCAGAAAGGGACGGCUAACUACGUG